UGAGUAUUUACUGCAGACAUGCCGUGGGCCACCUGAAUGAAGUUCGCAGACCACUUUGUGCUUUACAGACCACAGUUUGGGAACCUCUGAUGCAGACUCACACAAUAAUAAAACACAAUCAUGCAAACAUCAAGUUAAGCUUGCUAUUUAAAUUUGCAAUACAUAUAAUCCCUUCUCUCAAUGAAUCCUGAUGUAAAUAGUUUUCAGCCACUUAGCCAAAUUAUUGAAUUCUCCAUGCAUCUACUAUUAUAUUCCUAUUCAAAUAAAUAUAACACAAAAGCAGUAUGCUUAUUUCAAAACCUCAAUAUCCCUGCAACUUUAGGAGGAGUUGAGAUGCAAAUGAAAGCAGCCAAGUACUGCUUUGAAGGCAUACAGAGGUGCUGUAUCAUCAAUAUUAACAGUGCAAUUUAUACAUCUCAGAAGGAAGCCCUAUUGAGUUCAAUGGGACUUACUCCCAAGUAAGUGUCUAUAGCAGUGGUUCUCAAACUUGUUUCUCUGGGCCACACUUUUCAGAAUAAAAACAUGUGAAAAACAACUAGGAUUGUUCUCAGUAUCAUUUGAUGCUCUUGCUCUCAUUUUGAAAAGAUAAUCUAUUCAUAGUAUGCAAAUAAAAAAAAAGAUGUGAUACAAUACUACAUUCCUCUUCUGCCACAGAACUCCUGUGCACAUGCUUCCCUAUGUAUUUUGGCAAGCAGGAUAACCUUAUGUACAUAAGAGAGACUCAAUGCACUUAAGCCCCCAUUUCUGCAAGAAGGCGGCUAGAUCAGGAGCACCUCAAGCUUAGUGGAAAACCGAUUACUUAAACAAGGAGGACAGCAGAGGCUGAUUUCCUGAGUUAUGGAGACCACAUGGGUUUACUCUUCAGAAGCAACUUUAUCUCUGGGCCAGUUCUACAACUGGCAGAGCAAUCUUAUACAUGUCUAUUCAGAAGAUAUCUUUAGUGCAGUGGGACUAACCCUCAUGGAAGGAUUGCAGCCUUAGCUACUGUUAUAAAGAAUUAAAUAGACUUUUCUAUUAGCUAUGCAUGCCAAAGUCCAAUGUGGAAAAUAGAUUGCUGCAGUUCGAAUGAGAUGCUAAAAUGUAACCUCAGCAUAGGUUCUUCAAAAAUAAACUCUCUUCCCCCUUUU
Long non-coding RNA from Podarcis raffonei (Aeolian wall lizard), 1127 nucleotides. RefSeq lists it as uncharacterized. Lineage: Eukaryota; Metazoa; Chordata; Lepidosauria; Squamata; Lacertidae. The transcript has 2 exons. The record is from RefSeq and is a predicted model, not a curated record.